This 492-nucleotide ribosomal RNA is filed under the name uncultured bacterium. RNAcentral describes it as "partial 16S ribosomal RNA". It matches the Rfam family "Bacterial small subunit ribosomal RNA", at positions 29 to 507 of the family's 1533-position model. The record is from RNAcentral.
AGUGAACGCUGGCGGUAGGCCUAACACAUGCAAGUCGAACGGCAGCACAGUAAGAGCUUGCUCUUACGGGUGGCGAGUGGCGGACGGGUGAGGAAUACAUCGGAAUCUACUUUUUCGUGGGGGAUAACGUAGGGAAACUUACGCUAAUACCGCAUACGACCUACGGGUGAAAUCAGGGGAUCUUCGGACCUUGCGCGAUUGAAUGAGCCGAUGUCGGAUUAGCUAGUUGGCGGGGUAAAGGCCCACCAAGGCGACGAUCCGUAGCUGAUCUGAGAGGAUGAUCAGCCACACUGGAACUGAGACACGGUCCAGACUCCUACGGGAGGCAGCAGUGGGGAAUAUUGGACAAUGGGCGCAAGCCUGAUCCAGCCAUACCGCGUGGGUGAAGAAGGCCUUCGGGUUGUAAAGCCCUUUUGUUGGGAAAGAAAAGCAGCAGGUUAAUACCCCGCUGUUCUGACGGUACCCAAAGAAUAAGCACCGGCUAACUUCGUG